GCCGAGGUGGCGGAAUUGGCAGACGCGCUAGAUUCAGGAUCUAGUGGGCAUUUACGCCCGUGCGGGUUCGACUCCCGCCCUCGGCACCA
RNAcentral lists this transfer RNA (89 nucleotides) under Calditrichota bacterium. RNAcentral describes it as "Calditrichaeota bacterium tRNA-Leu". It matches the Rfam family "tRNA". From Rfam's summary of the family: Transfer RNA (tRNA) molecules are approximately 80 nucleotides in length. Their secondary structure includes four short double-helical elements and three loops (D, anti-codon, and T loops). The record is from RNAcentral. RNAcentral also lists the same sequence under 1 other name. Lineage: Bacteria; Pseudomonadati; Calditrichota.